GGGUCAGUAGGUUGGUCGUGCCACCGGUACGUACUGGUCUCACUGAUUCCUCCUUCCUGAAGAACCGUAAUGCCAUUAAUUUGGUGUUGCGGGGAAACAGGACUGUUACUUUGAGAAAAUUAGAGUGUUUAAAGCAAGCUAACGCUUGAAUACAUUAGCAUGGAGUAAUGAAAUAGGACGAUCGAUCCUAUUUUGUUGGUUUCUAGGAUUGACGUA
Molecule: ribosomal RNA, 216 nt
Filed under: Glomeromycotina sp.
Lineage: Eukaryota; Fungi; Glomeromycota
Description: partial small subunit ribosomal RNA
Rfam family: Eukaryotic small subunit ribosomal RNA (bases 40-216)
Source: RNAcentral